This 490-nucleotide ribosomal RNA is filed under the name uncultured bacterium. RNAcentral describes it as "bacterial SSU rRNA". It matches the Rfam family "Bacterial small subunit ribosomal RNA", at positions 28 to 506 of the family's 1533-position model. The record is from RNAcentral.
GAUGAACGCUAGCUACAGGCUUAACACAUGCAAGUCGAGGGGAAACGAUAGAGAAAGCUUGCUUUUUCUAGGCGUCGACCGGCGCACGGGUGAGUAACGCGUAUCCAACCUGCCCACCACUUGGGGAUAACCUUGCGAAAGUAAGACUAAUACCCAAUGACGUCUCUAGAAGACAUCUGAAAGAGAUUAAAGAUUUAUCGGUGAUGGAUGGGGAUGCGUCUGAUUAGCUUGUUGGCGGGGUAACGGCCCACCAAGGCGACGAUCAGUAGGGGUUCUGAGAGGAAGGUCCCCCACAUUGGAACUGAGACACGGUCCAAACUCCUACGGGAGGCAGCAGUGAGGAAUAUUGGUCAAUGGACGAGAGUCUGAACCAGCCAAGUAGCGUGCAGGAUGACGGCCCUAUGGGUUGUAAACUGCUUUUAUAAGGGAUAAAGUGGGAGUCGUGACUCUUUUUGCAUGUACCUUAUGAAUAAGGACCGGCUAAUUCCGU